Long non-coding RNA from Mustela lutreola (European mink), 992 nucleotides. RefSeq lists it as uncharacterized. The transcript has 3 exons. The record is from RefSeq and is a predicted model, not a curated record. NCBI's taxonomy places the organism in Eukaryota, Metazoa, Chordata, Mammalia, Carnivora, Mustelidae.
CGCGGGCUAAGCGCGUGCCCGGGGGUGCGCGCCGGGGAUGGAGGCUGGGGUGCUCCUGUGGGAAGGGAGGGGUGAAAGGUCGCCGGUCGCGGCAACACGGCUCAGGCAAACGUAAGCGGCUUGUCGCAGAAACCAAGGGGUCUAAGAAACGCGCUAGGCUAGAAGGCGGGAAGCAGAGAUUACUGACAGUCAUGCUAGCCAAUAAAAUGGGAAUGUGGGACAGGCUCUCCAGGCCCCUUCCCAAUCAGGAAACUUAGGUAUGAGAGGGAAUGAAGGGGCGGGGUGGGAUCCCGGUUAAGCCGCGGCUGGAGCGGCGACAGUUUUGGCUAGUCUGAGAAGGGCAUUCGAGUGACCGUUGACAACGGGGGAGACAGCGUCAAGGCUGAAGGAAGAACCUUUAACUUUAUGCUUCCAGGACUACUAGCUAGCAUCCUUUAUUGCAGGGAACAUCUAGGAGGUACUGGGAUUUCUGGCGCUUUUUAAGUGAUGAAAGACAGAUUAAAGUCCACUGAACAAGGGGAAAACAAUAACAUUUGGCUUGGGAAUAAAAGUUCAUCUGGAGUAUGAAAAAUACUUUUCCUCAAGUCAGAGAAGAAGAUAUGCUGAGACCUCAAAGAAAGGGAAAGCCGACUUAAUAUUUAAAUACUACCUACCAUUCCAUGGGGACUAGGAGCAGAAGGUAUGAUUUUAAAUGUGGAUAGCAUGCUUACCAAUAAUUUAUUUAACUCUGAUAUGCCAGGAAUUUCAGAGACUAUCUUAAGACCUGGUCAGACAUCUAAGGGUUAGUUAGCUAUGAUCUGAUUUGGUCAAUGAAGGUUAUCAGAGAGUAUAAUUUAUUCUCCAUUCUCUAUUAUGUUUUAUUAUUUUUUUAAAAAGCAUACUUCUCCAUUUCACACUAUGUGUACCUCUAUCAUUCUGAUUAAAUAGACAUAAACGUUUUAUCUAUUCUAAUAAAACUGAAAAAAAUUUUUUAAAUCAUUUCCCAGUUUAUA